RNAcentral lists this ribosomal RNA (529 nucleotides) under uncultured Spiroplasma sp. RNAcentral's name for it is "bacterial SSU rRNA". It matches the Rfam family "Bacterial small subunit ribosomal RNA", at positions 133 to 650 of the family's 1533-position model. The record is from RNAcentral. Lineage: Bacteria; Bacillati; Mycoplasmatota; Mollicutes; Entomoplasmatales; Spiroplasmataceae.
UUAGUGGGGAAUAACUGUUGGAAACGACAGCUAAUACCGCAUAAUAUUGCUGGAUAAUUUCCAGUAAUGAAAGGAGCUUUCAAGCUCCGCUGAUUGAUGAGGAUGCGGCGCAUUAGCUAGUUGGUAGGGUAAUGGCCUACCAAGGCAAUGAUGCGUAGCCGAUCUGAGAGGAUGAACGGCCACAUUGGGACUGAGACACGGCCCAAACUUCUACGGAAGGCGGCAGUAGGGAAUUUUUCUCAAUGGGCGAAAGCCUGAUGGAGCAAUGCCGCGUGACUGAUGAAGGUCUUCGGAUUGUAAAGGUCUGUUGUAAGGGAAGAAAUGGUAAAACAGGAAAUGGUUUUAUCUAUGACGGUACCUUACCAGAAAGCCACGGCUAACUAUGUGCCAGCAGCCGCGGUAAUACAUAGGUGGCAAGCGUUAUCCGGAUUUAUUGGGCGUAAAGGGUGCGUAGACGGUUUUGCAAGUCUGAGGUUAAAUUUAGGAGCUCAACUCCUAAUCGCCUUGGAAACUACNAGACUAGAGCAUA